CAAUAGCGUAUAUUAAAGUUGUUGCAGUUAAAAAGCUCGUAGUUGGAUUUCGGUGGUGCCGGGCGGGCCGCCCCCGCGAGGGGGUCGCGCCACGCUUUUCGGUGUCACAUUUUCGGGGGAUGCCCUUCUGGCAUUAGGUUGUCGGGGGGGAGCAACCCGUCGUUUACUGUGAAAAAAUUAGAGUGUUCAAAGCAGGCUUAGGCCAUUGAAUACAUUAGCAUGGAAUAAUGAGAUAGGACCGUGGUGCUAUUUUGUUGGUUUGCGCGCCAAGGUAAUGAUUGAUAGGGACGGUUGGGGGUAUUCGUAUUCAAUUGUCAGAGGUGAAAUUCUUGGAUUUAUGGAAGACGAACUACUGCGAAAGCAUUUACCAAAGAUGUUUNCAUUAA
Molecule: ribosomal RNA, 386 nt
Filed under: uncultured eukaryote
Lineage: Eukaryota
Description: partial 18S ribosomal RNA
Rfam family: Eukaryotic small subunit ribosomal RNA
Source: RNAcentral